AACUUAAAGGAAUUGACGGGGGAGCACUACACGGGUGGAGCCUGCGGUUUAAUUGGAUUCAACGCCGGAAUCUCACCGGGGGCGACAGCAAUAUGAAGGUCAGGCUGAAGACCUUACCCGAUUAGCUGAGAGGUGGUGCAUGGCCGUCGUCAGUUCGUACUGUGAAGCAUCCUGUUAAGUCAGGCAACGAGCGAGACCCACGUCCACAGUUGCCAGCAUACCCUCCGGGGUGAUGGGUACACUGUGGAGACCGCCGCUGCUAAAGCGGAGGAAGGAGUGGGCAACGGUAGGUCAGUAUGCCCCGAAUCUCCCGGGCUACACGCGGGCUACAAUGGUUGGUACAAUGGGCAUCUACCCCGAAAGGGGAAGGAAAUCUCUUAAAGCCAAUCGUAGUUCGGAUUGAGGGCUGCAACUCGCCCUCAUGAAGCUGGAAUCCGUAGUAAUCGCGUUUCAACAGAACGCGGUGAAUACGUCCCUGCUCCUU
Molecule: ribosomal RNA, 484 nt
Filed under: uncultured Methanosaeta sp.
Lineage: Archaea; Methanobacteriati; Methanobacteriota; Methanomicrobia; Methanotrichales; Methanotrichaceae
Description: bacterial SSU rRNA
Rfam family: Archaeal small subunit ribosomal RNA
Source: RNAcentral